Molecule: ribosomal RNA, 478 nt
Filed under: uncultured bacterium
Lineage: Bacteria
Description: partial 16S ribosomal RNA
Rfam family: Bacterial small subunit ribosomal RNA
Source: RNAcentral
GACGAACGCUGGCGGCGUGCUUAACACAUGCAAGUCGAACGGUAAGGCCCUUCGGGGUACACGAGUGGCGAACGGGUGAGUAACACGUGGGUGAUCUGCCAUGCACUUCGGGAUAAGCCUGGGAAACUGGGUCUAAUACCGGAUAGGACCACUGCCUACAUGGGUGGUGGUGGAAAGCUGUUGCGGUGUGGGAUGGGCCCGCGGCCUAUCAGCUUGUUGGUGGGGUGAUGGCCUACGAAGGCGACGACGGGUAGCCGGCCUGGGAGGGGGACCGGCAACACUGGGACUGAGAUACGGCCCAGACUCCUACGGGAGGCAGCAGUGGGGAAUAUUGCACAAUGGGCGCAAGCCUGAUGCAGCGACGCCGCGUGAGGGAUGACGGCCUUCGGGUUGUAAACCUCUUUCAGCACCGACGAAGCGCAAGUGACGGUAGGUGCAGAAGAAGGACCGGCCAACUACGUGCCAGCCGCCGCGGUAA